RNAcentral lists this transfer RNA (67 nucleotides) under Marmota monax (woodchuck). RNAcentral describes it as "tRNA.Ser". Lineage: Eukaryota; Metazoa; Chordata; Mammalia; Rodentia; Sciuridae. The record is from RNAcentral.
GGAUGUAACUCAGUGGAAGAGCACUUGCCUAGAAUGUGUGAGGCCCUGGGUUCCAUCCCCAGCACCA